AGCGAACGCUGGCGGCAGGCCUAACACAUGCAAGUCGAACGAACCUUUCGGGGUUAGUUGCGGACGGGUGAGUACCACGUGGGAACGUGCCUUUAGGUUCGGAAUAACUCAGGGAAACUUGUGCUAAUACCGAAUGUGCCCUUCGGGGGAAAGAUUUAUCGCCUUUAGAGGGGCCCGCGUCUGGUUAGCUAGUUGGUUGAGGUAAUGGCUCACCAAGGCGGCGAUCAGUAGCUGGGCUGGGGGGAUGGUACGCCACAUUGGGGCUGAGACACGGCCCACAACUCGACGGGGGGGCGGCGGAGGGAAACCUGCGGGAUGGGCCAAAAGCCGGCAGCGCCCUGGCCGGGGGAAUGAGGAGGGCUUUGGAUUGUGAAAUUCCUUUACCCGGGGCGGAAAUGACGGUAACCGGAAGAGAAGCACCGGCUAACUUCGUG
RNAcentral lists this ribosomal RNA (434 nucleotides) under uncultured bacterium. Its description in RNAcentral is "partial 16S ribosomal RNA". It matches the Rfam family "Bacterial small subunit ribosomal RNA", at positions 30 to 507 of the family's 1533-position model. The record is from RNAcentral.